UACGUAGGGUGCAAGCGUUAAUCGGAAUUACUGGGCGUAAAGCGUGCGCAGGCGGAUAGCUAAGUUAGAAGUGAAAUCCCCGGGCUCAACCUGGGAACUGCUUUUAAGACUGGUUAUCUAGAGUUUGUCAGAGGGGGGUGGAAUUCCAAGUGUAGCAGUGAAAUGCGUAGAGAUUUGGAGGAACACCGAUGGCGAAGGCAGCCCCCUGGGAUAAAACUGACGCUCAGGCACGAAAGCGUGGGUAGCAAACAGG
RNAcentral lists this ribosomal RNA (253 nucleotides) under uncultured bacterium. RNAcentral describes it as "partial 16S ribosomal RNA". It matches the Rfam family "Bacterial small subunit ribosomal RNA", at positions 524 to 776 of the family's 1533-position model. The record is from RNAcentral.